GAAUGGCAGGAGUGAUGACAAACAGCAAAAGCUGCCCCCUGUUGUCACUUGCAGCAUCAGCAAUCAUAGCAAUUUCACUAGCUGAUGCAUCAGAUGGCUGCAUCAAACUCCAUGAGGCCAGCCCACCUAGACCAAGUCCUAUGAUAACUCCUUUGUUGCUUCUCAUUCUGUUGAUCUGGUUAAGUGCUGGUUGCAGGAUGUUGUAGAGCACCCAAGCUAUUGCCGGAAUGAUGGGAAUAAGAAGGGCAAGUCCCCGGUUGUCGCCCUCAGCUAUUUCAGCAAUCUGUUGUGCUGCAAAGGCAGGAUCACAUGAGCUCAAUGUCGAGAAAACAGCACUUGCAAGG
RNAcentral lists this long non-coding RNA (344 nucleotides) under Olea europaea (common olive). RNAcentral describes it as "long non-coding RNA (OEUR_LNC004953)". Lineage: Eukaryota; Viridiplantae; Streptophyta; Magnoliopsida; Lamiales; Oleaceae. The record is from RNAcentral.